UGGCACAGUGGUUAAGUGCUUGGCUGCUAACCGAAAGGUUGGUGGUUCAAAUCCACC
RNAcentral lists this transfer RNA (57 nucleotides) under Loxodonta africana (African savanna elephant). It matches the Rfam family "tRNA", at positions 8 to 63 of the family's 71-position model. Rfam says of the family: Transfer RNA (tRNA) molecules are approximately 80 nucleotides in length. Their secondary structure includes four short double-helical elements and three loops (D, anti-codon, and T loops). Lineage: Eukaryota; Metazoa; Chordata; Mammalia; Proboscidea; Elephantidae. The record is from Rfam by way of RNAcentral.